GAUGAACGCUGGCGGCGUGCCUAAUACAUGCAAGUCGAGCGAACGGACGAGAAGCUUGCUUCUCUGAUGUUAGCGGCGGACGGGUGAGUAACACGUGGAUAACCUACCUAUAAGACUGGGAUAACUUCGGGAAACCGGAGCUAAUACCGGAUAAUAUUUUGAACCGCAUGGUUCAAAAGUGAAAGACGGUCUUGCUGUCACUUAUAGAUGGAUCCGCGCUGCAUUAGCUAGUUGGUAAGGUAACGGCUUACCAAGGCAACGAUGCAUAGCCGACCUGAGAGGGUGAUCGGCCACACUGGAACUGAGACACGGUCCAGACUCCUACGGGAGGCAGCAGUAGGGAAUCUUCCGCAAUGGGCGAAAGCCUGACGGAGCAACGCCGCGUGAGUGAUGAAGGUCUUCGGAUCGUAAAACUCUGUUAUUAGGGAAGAACAUAUGUGUAAGUAACUGUGCACAUCUUGACGGUACCUAAUCAGAAAGCCACGGCUAACUACGUGCCAGCAGCCGCGGUAAUACGUAGGUGGCAAGCGUUAUCCGGAAUUAUUGGGCGUAAAGCGCGCGUAGGCGGUUUUUUAAGUCUGAUGUGAAAGCCCACGGCUCAACCGUGGAGGGUCAUUGGAAACUGGAAAACUUGAGUGCAGAAGAGGAAAGUGGAAUUCCAUGUGUAGCGGUGAAAUGCGCAGAGAUAUGGAGGAACACCAGUGGCGAGGGCGACUUUCUGGUCUGUAACUGACGCUGAUGUGCGAAAGCGUGGGGAUCAAACAGGAUUAGAUACCCUGGUAGUCCACGCCGUAAACGAUGAGUGCUAAGUGUUAGGGGGUUUCCGCCCCUUAGUGCUGCAGCUAACGCAUUAAGCACUCCGCCUGGGGAGUACGACCGCAAGGUUGAAACUCAAAGGAAUUGACGGGGACCCGCACAAGCGGUGGAGCAUGUGGUUUAAUUCGAAGCAACGCGAAGAACCUUACCAAAUCUUGACAUCCUUUGACAACUCUAGAGAUAGAGCCUUCCCCUUCGGGGGGGCAAAGUGACAGGUGGUGCAUGGUUGUCGUCAGCUCGUGUCGUGAGAUGUUGGGUUAAGUCCCGCAACGAGCGCAACCCUUAAGCUUAGUUGCCAUCAUUAAGUUGGGCACUCUAAGUUGACUGCCGGUGACAAACCGGAGGAAGGUGGGGAUGACGUCAAAUCAUCAUGCCCCUUAUGAUUUGGGCUACACACGUGCUACAAUGGACAAUACAAAGGGCAGCGAAACCGCGAGGUCAAGCAAAUCCCAUAAAGUUGUUCUCAGUUCGGAUUGUAGUCUGCAACCCGACUACAUGAAGCUGGAAUCGCUAGUAAUCGUAGAUCAGCAUGCUACGGUGAAUACGUUCCCGGGUCU
Molecule: ribosomal RNA, 1373 nt
Filed under: uncultured bacterium
Lineage: Bacteria
Description: bacterial SSU rRNA
Rfam family: Bacterial small subunit ribosomal RNA
Source: RNAcentral